RNAcentral lists this ribosomal RNA (253 nucleotides) under uncultured bacterium. RNAcentral's name for it is "partial 16S ribosomal RNA". It matches the Rfam family "Bacterial small subunit ribosomal RNA", at positions 524 to 776 of the family's 1533-position model. The record is from RNAcentral.
UAGGUAGGGGGCAAGCGGUGUCCGGAAUUGUUGGGCGUAAAGCGCGCGCAGGCGGUCUCUUAAGUCUGAUGUGAAAGCCCACGGCUCAACCGUGGAGGGUCAUUGGAAACUGGGAGACUUGAGUGUAGGAGAGGAAAGUGGAAUUCCACGUGUAGCGGUGAAAUGCGUAGAGAUGUGGAGGAACACCAGUGGCGAAGGCGACUUUCUGGCCUAUAACUGACGCUGAGGCGCGAAAGCGUGGGGAGCAAACAGG